GGCGGUUGGCCGCACUGUCCUCUGCACGGGGGACGCAGGCCAGCUGCCAGGCCUCGACGACAAUGCCCCCCCUCUGCCCUUGGGAAGGCUUUGGGGCCGGGCAGACCCGCCGCCCGCAGCCACUCCGCCUCUGCCCUCUCUGCCCCACAGCCCGGCCAUCGCUGCCCGCCUUGGCGGGCUCCUGUCGGGAUAGGGUAGGGCCACCGCCGGUCUGGUUAUGGGCCGCCCUCUGGGCACCGAGCAGCCCCCCGAGCCCUGACCGACCACGAGGACCCGGGAGGAUCGAUGCCUCUGGAGCCUCCAGCGAACUCAGUGGAAACCAUGGCUUCUUUGACUGGGGCUAGGCUGCCCUCCUUUCUCUACAUCUCCUUGCAGAGACAGAAUGGCCCCGGGCAGCGUGUAAUCAGGGAGGUGAACACCACCACCAGGGCCUGUGCUCUUUGGGGCCUGGCUGAAGACAGCGACUACACAGUGCAGGUCAGGAGCAUCGGCCUCUGGGAAGAGAGGCCCCCAGGGCCCCGUGUGCACUUCCAAACUCUCAAGGUUUCUGACAGGCUGCCCUCCAAAAGCUCCAGCCCAUGACUCACUGCGCUUACCCAGGUCCUGUGUGCACCUUCGAGAACCCACUAGGUGACCUUAUGACGUAUGUCGCCUGUAUGUCAACCACUAGCGCCGCCAAUGCAGGCCUGUUGUCUGCAUCAUGCAGUUGAAGCACCCGAGAACCCUGUUGAGCCCUCAGGUGAGGAAUCCCAUGCCUCUCCCAUUCCCGACCACCAGGCAUUACAAAACAAAACAAAACAAAAACAGGAACAGAAGUUGACACUUUUGAGCUUCUACUCCUGGAGAAGACUGUAAAAGCUCGCUCUGCAGUCGAUGUGCAUCGCUGACUGACGGCUAAAUGCUGUCAUUGCAUCGCAUACAUCAGUUGAGUGCCAGGCCCAACUUAGGCUCUACGGGAUCAAAUCUACCUGCAUUACGUCAAGACUUUUUCUGGAGGGAAAGGCGCAUAUAUAGAUCACGAUCACAGCUCUAC
Long non-coding RNA from Grammomys surdaster, 1033 nucleotides. RefSeq lists it as uncharacterized. The record is from RefSeq and is a predicted model, not a curated record. Lineage: Eukaryota; Metazoa; Chordata; Mammalia; Rodentia; Muridae. The transcript is spliced from 3 exons.